AAAGACUCAAUUCUUGGGUUUCCGUGUCCAACGUUUGACCGACCGUCUUAUAUGAAAUUUUUUUAUGAUUAAUAUUUUCAUUAUUGUUAGAUGAUAAAACAUGAAUAAUACUUUAUGCAUGACUUAUAUUUUUAAAUUUUUUCAUAUUUUUUUCAAAUAAGACGGACGGUCAAACAUUAAACACGGAAACUCAGGAAUUGAGUUUUU
Molecule: microRNA precursor, 207 nt
Organism: Oryza sativa Indica Group (long-grained rice)
Lineage: Eukaryota; Viridiplantae; Streptophyta; Magnoliopsida; Poales; Poaceae
Rfam family: MIR812 microRNA precursor family
Source: Rfam